RNAcentral lists this ribosomal RNA (189 nucleotides) under uncultured bacterium. Its description in RNAcentral is "partial 16S ribosomal RNA". It matches the Rfam family "Bacterial small subunit ribosomal RNA", at positions 338 to 524 of the family's 1533-position model. The record is from RNAcentral.
CCUACGGGAGGCAGCAGUGAGGAAUAUUGGUCAAUGGGCGCGAGCCUGAACCAGCCAAGUAGCGUGCAGGAUGACGGCCCUAUGGGUUGUAAACUGCUUUUAUACAGGGAUAAAGUGGGGAACGUGUUCCCUUUUGCAGGUACUGUAUGAAUAAGGACCGGCUAAUUCCGUGCCAGCAGCCGCGAUAAU